Molecule: ribosomal RNA, 497 nt
Filed under: uncultured bacterium
Lineage: Bacteria
Description: partial 16S ribosomal RNA
Rfam family: Bacterial small subunit ribosomal RNA
Source: RNAcentral
GACGAACGCUGGCGGCGUGCCUAAUACAUGCAAGUUGAGCGCUGAAGGUUGGUACUUGUACCAACUGGAUGAGCAGCGAACGGGUGAGUAACGCGUGGGGAAUCUGCCUUUGAGCGGGGGACAACAUUUGGAAACGAAUGCUAAUACCGCAUAAAAACUUUAAACACAAGUUUUAAGUUUGAAAGAUGCAAUUGCAUCACUCAAAGAUGAUCCCGCGUUGUAUUAGCUAGUUGGUGAGGUAAAGGCUCACCAAGGCGAAGAUACAUAGCCGACCUGAGAGGGGGAUCCGCCACAUUGGGAAUGGGACACGGCCCAAACCCCUACGGGAGGCAGCAGUAGGGAAUCUUCGGCAAUGGACGAAAGGCUGACCGAGCAAAGCCGCGGGAGGGAAGAAGGUUUUCGGAUCGGAAAACUCUGUUGGUAGAGAAGAACGUUGGUGGGAGUGGAAAGCUCAUCAAGUGACGGUAACUACCCAGAAAGGGACGGCUAACUACGUG